RNAcentral lists this ribosomal RNA (460 nucleotides) under uncultured bacterium. RNAcentral's name for it is "partial 16S ribosomal RNA". It matches the Rfam family "Bacterial small subunit ribosomal RNA", at positions 338 to 795 of the family's 1533-position model. The record is from RNAcentral.
CCUACGGGGGGCUGCAGUGGGGGAUAUUGCACAAUGGGAGGAAUCCUGAACCAGCCAUGCCGCGUGCAGGACGACGGCUCUACGAGUUGUAAACUGCUUUUGUACCGGGGUAAAAUGCUCUACGAGUAGGGUUUUGAAAGUACGGUACGAAUAAGGAUCGGCUAACUCCGUGCCAGCAGCCGCGGUAAUACGGAGGAUCCGAGCGUUAUCCGGAUUCAUUGGGUUUAAAGGGCGUGUAGGCGGGAAAGCAAGUCAGAUGUGAAAACCAUGGGCUCAACCUGUGGCCUGCAUUUGAAACUGGUUUUCUUGAGUACUGGAGAGGCAGACGGAAUUCCUAGUGUAGCGGUGAAAUGCGUAGAUAUUAGGAGGAACACCAGUGGCGAAGGCGGUCUGCUGGACAGCAACUGACGCUGAGGCGCGAAAGCGUGGGGAGCAAACAGGAUUAGAUACCCUUGUAGUC